GGCUAACCUUCCUGAUGAUCUGGAAGCCUCAAAAUGCAUUUACACCCCUCGCCCCCGCCGCAGAUUUGCUUAAAAAUGCCAGAAUGAGCAUGUGCUUAGAAAAAUCAUUUGCUUUUUAGACCCCCCCCACCUCUACCCCCAGCUCCAGCCCCCAACUUGGUAAAAAAAAUUGCAAAGGGAAAGGAUCUAGCCAGGAUGGAGUGGAUGACGACACACACGUGCCCUUUGGAAAAGCUGCGACUGUCAUACGUGACAGCCUAGCUUAAAGGACAGAGCUGAGUGCAAGGGAAUGGGGGGAAACCAGAUGAAACGAAGUGAGAAGCGAACACAAAUAAUUGACACCAGAAGUCAACUGCUGAGCUUUUUGGAAUGAGAUUACAGUGGAAACAGCCAUGCCAAGAAAUCUGCACUGGUAUUCUUGCUUGGUUCUUACUACAUCACAUCGGGAGGUCCAAGCGUUCAUGCCGAGUUUGAUUCCUUUCCUAAGACAAUGACCACCAAAUACCUCCAAGGCAAGAUGCAGUUUCUCUGACUACAUGAAUAAAGUGAGAGAGGCAAAAGCUGCAAAGGAACAAGGGUUUAUCCAACUCACAAUCCUAGGAGCAUGUUGUGGGUUCAGAGCCAGCUCCGAGUUUCAGCUGACUGCCAGUGUCCUUCAGCCAGCCAGAUGGAAUGCUUUCGAGGUACCGUGAGGAAGGUUACUUCUCCAACCCAUAAAUUCUUCCCAACACUACCCAAGCGUGGACAGCAGGACCAGAUGUUUGAGAAGGCCUGGAGGAACCUGCAUCUGAAUUCAAUAUCAUCAAAAUGAAAGAGGGUCAAGAGUUUAGGAAACCGUAUAAAGCAAUAACCACACAAGAUAUUUUAUUAAUAAAUUCUAUCCAGUUUUGACAUGUACUGUCAUACAUCAUAAACAUAACUGGUACACUUUUCCUAUCAUUUGUUGUGAAUUUCUGGAUCUAAGACUACUUCUUUAGUACAAAGGGAACCAGUACAUUAGAUAGAAUUGUGUUAACAAUAAAUGUAUAAAUACAUUAACUGUAAAAUGGUAUAUAAGACUGGGAUUGGAAUGUAAAAAUAAAUUAAUAAAAAAAGCAAAAAUGGCACAUGAUUAAUAACUAUAUGCUUGAUACAAAAUACUUUCAUCCGACUGGGCAUUGGUGGCGCACGCCUUUAAUCCCAG
This 1183-nucleotide long non-coding RNA is filed under the name Cricetulus griseus (Chinese hamster). RNAcentral's name for it is "lncRNA (ENSCGRG00015040960.1)". The record is from RNAcentral. Lineage: Eukaryota; Metazoa; Chordata; Mammalia; Rodentia; Cricetidae.